RNAcentral lists this ribosomal RNA (1574 nucleotides) under Xiphinemella esseri. Its description in RNAcentral is "SSU rRNA". It matches the Rfam family "Eukaryotic small subunit ribosomal RNA", at positions 49 to 1648 of the family's 1831-position model. The record is from RNAcentral. Lineage: Eukaryota; Metazoa; Nematoda; Enoplea; Dorylaimida; Dorylaimidae.
CCAUGCAUGUCUAAGCACAUGCCUUAAUACGGUGAAGCCGCGAAUAGCUCAUUACAACAGCCAUCGUUUAUUAGAAUAUCGUUAUCUUACUUGGAUAACUGUGGCAAUUCUAGAGCUAAUACAUGCAAAUAAGCUCCGACCGUAAGGAAGAGCGCAUUUAUUAGAAUAAAAACCAAUCAGGCUUCGGCCUGUAAUGUUGGUGAAUCUGAAUAACUUUGCCAAUCGCACGGUCUUAGUACCGGCGAUGUAUCUUUCAAGUGUCUGCCUUAUCAACUUUCGAUGGUAGGUUAUACGCCUACCAUGGUAGUAACGGGUAACGGAGAAUAAGGGUUCGACUCCGGAGAGGGAGCCUGAGAAACGGCUACCACAUCCAAGGAAGGCAGCAGGCGCGCAAAUUACCCACUUCCAGAACGGAGAGGUAGUGACGAAAAAUAACGAGACAGUCCUCUUCGAGGUCUGUCAUCGGAAUGGGUACAAUUUAAAUCCUUUAACGAGGAUCUAUUGGAGGGCAAGUCUGGUGCCAGCAGCCGCGGUAAUUCCAGCUCCAAUAGCGUAUAUUAAAGUUGUUGCGGUUAAAACGCUCGUAGUUGGAUCUGCGGCCAAGCGGGAUGGUCCCCCGAAAGGGUGGUCACUGUCGUUGCUAGCCUAAAAUCGAGUCGUCUCUAGGUGUUCUUUACCGAGUGCCUAGAGUGACUAGAACGUUUACUUUGAAAAAAUUAGAGUGCUUAAAGCAGGCGAAAUAGCCUGAAUAAGGUGCAUGGAAUAAUGGAAUAGGACCUCGGUUCUAUUUUGUUGGUUUUCGGAGCCCGAGGUAAUGAUUAAGAGGAACAGACGGGGGCAUUCGUAUUCCGGCGCUAGAGGUGAAAUUCUUGGACCGCCGGAAGACGGACGACUGCGAAAGCAUUUGCCAAGAAUGUUUUCAUUAAUCAAGAACGAAAGUUAGAGGUUCGAAGGCGAUCAGAUACCGCCCUAGUUCUAACCGUAAACGAUGACAACCAGCGAUUAGUCGGCGUUAAUAUACGACCCGACUAGCAGCUUCCGGGAAACCAAAGUUUUUCGUUUCCGGGGGAAGUAUGGUUGCAAAGCUGAAACUUAAAGGAAUUGACGGAAGGGCACCACCAGGAGUGGAGCCUGCGGCUUAAUUUGACUCAACACGGGAAAACUCACCCGGCCCGGACACUGUAAGGAUUGACAGACUGAGAGCUCUUUCUUAAUUCGGUGGGUGGUGGUGCAUGGCCGUUCUUAGUUGGUGGAGCGAUUUGUCUGGUUAAUUCCGAUAACGAACGAGACUCUGGCCUAUUAAAUAGACGGUAUAUCGAAAAGUAUGCCGCGCUUCUUAGAGGGACAAGCGGCGUCUAGCCGCAUGAAAUAGAGCAAUAACAGGUCUGUGAUGCCCUUAGAUGUCCGGGGCUGCACGCGCGCUACACUGAAAGAAUCAGCGUGUGUUCGUAGCCUAGUUCGGAAGGACUGGGUAACCCGAGUAAAUUCUUUCGUGCUUGGGAUAGGGAAUUGCAAUUAUUUCCCUUAAACGAGGAAUUCCCAGUAAAUGCGGGUCAUAAGCUCGCGUUGAUUAC